This 254-nucleotide ribosomal RNA is filed under the name uncultured bacterium. RNAcentral's name for it is "partial 16S ribosomal RNA". It matches the Rfam family "Bacterial small subunit ribosomal RNA", at positions 524 to 776 of the family's 1533-position model. The record is from RNAcentral.
UACGAAGGGGGCUAGCGUUGCUCGGAAUCACUGGGCGUAAAGGGUGCGUAGGCGGCGCGGUAAGUCGGGUGUGAAAUCUUGGAGCUUAACUCCGAAACUGCAUUCGAUACUGCCGUGCUUGAGGACUGGAGAGGAGACUGGAAUUUACGGUGUAGCGGUGAAAUGCGUAGAUAUCGUAAGGAAGACCAGUGGCGGAAGGCGGGUCUCUGGACAGUUCCUGACGCUGAGGCACGAAGGCCAGGGGAGCAAACGGG